Molecule: ribosomal RNA, 494 nt
Filed under: uncultured bacterium
Lineage: Bacteria
Description: partial 16S ribosomal RNA
Rfam family: Bacterial small subunit ribosomal RNA
Source: RNAcentral
GACGAACGCUGGCGGCGUGCUUAACACAUGCAAGUCGAACGGUGAAGCGCCUUCCUUUUUGGUGGGUGUGGAGGAGUGGCGAACGGGUGAGUAACACGUGAGUAACCUGCCCCCUUCUUCUGGAUAACCGCAUGAAAGUGUCGCUAAUACGGGAUAUUCUGGGUCUGUCGCAUGAUGGGUCUGGGAAAGCUAUUGUUUCGGUGGGGGAUGGUCUCGCGGCCUAUCAGCUUGUUGGUGGGGUGAUGGCCUACCAAGGCGGUGACGGGUAGCCGGCCGGAGAGGGUGGGCGAUCAUACAGGGACUGCGACGUGGAGCAGACUCCGACGGGAGGCAGUAGUGGAGAAUAUUGAAUGAUGGGAGCAAGCCUGAUGCAGCGACGCCGCGUGAGAGAUGGACGUCGUCUGGUAGUGAACCUCUGUCGCGAGUGAAGAGGGGCUGCCUCGUUUGUGGGUGGGUUGACGGUAGCUGGAUAAGAAGCGCCGGCUAACUACGUG